This 464-nucleotide ribosomal RNA is filed under the name uncultured bacterium. Its description in RNAcentral is "partial 16S ribosomal RNA". It matches the Rfam family "Bacterial small subunit ribosomal RNA", at positions 28 to 507 of the family's 1533-position model. The record is from RNAcentral.
GACGAACGCUGGCGGCGUGCUUAACACAUGCAAGUCGAACGGUAAGGCCCUUUCGGGGGUACACGAGUGGCGCACGGGUGAGUAACACGUGGGUGAUCUGCCCUGCACUUUGGGAUAAGCCUGGGAAACUGGGUCUAAUACCGGAUAGGACUACGCGAUGCAUGUCGUGUGGUGGAAAGCUUUUGCGGUGUGGGAUGGGCCCGCGGCCUAUCAGCUUGUUGGUGGGGUGAUGGCCUACCAAGGCGACGACGGGUAGCCGGCCUGAGAGGGUGUCCGGCCACACUGGGACUGAGAUACGGCCCAGACUCCUACGGGAGGCAGCAGUGGGGAAUAUUGCACAAUGGGCGCAAGCCUGAUGCAGCGACGCCGCGUGGGGGAUGACGGCCUUCGGGUUGUAAACCACUUUCAGCACAGACGAAGCGUAAGUGACGGUAUGUGCAGAAGAAGCACCGGCCAACUACGUG